GCCACCGUAGCUCAGCCGGCAGAGCAACGGUUUCGUAAACCGUAGGUCAGGGGUUCAAGUCCCCUCGGUGGCU
RNAcentral lists this transfer RNA (73 nucleotides) under bacterium. Its description in RNAcentral is "tRNA-Thr". It matches the Rfam family "tRNA". Rfam says of the family: Transfer RNA (tRNA) molecules are approximately 80 nucleotides in length. Their secondary structure includes four short double-helical elements and three loops (D, anti-codon, and T loops). The record is from RNAcentral.